This is an RNA transcript of Pseudopipra pipra, 6955 nucleotides long. It is a transcript of the gene named HEPACAM family member 2, with no coding region annotated. The record is from RefSeq and is a predicted model, not a curated record. The transcript is spliced from 10 exons. Lineage: Eukaryota; Metazoa; Chordata; Aves; Passeriformes; Pipridae.
GUGGCUGGGGUUUGGGGUGUGCUAAUGGGGUGUUUGGACCAUGAGGUUCGCUUGUGUAGCCUUUGAAAGCAGUUACUUGAGAAGACAAAACGAGGCUUUGUCUGUGGAGAGAAACUAGAAAGUACACGUAGACAAUGAGCAUUUCCCGGUUGCCGCGGGUUAUUUCGAGUUAUGCACAAGAGCGUCUGGCCUGGUCACGGGUGAUGGGGUUUUGCGUCGCCAAAACAGGCUUGUAUCUCUGUUUGGUUGUAUAGAUAUCAGCUACAAGCAAGCAAACAAACAAACAAAAAGCAGAUAGCUUCUUAAAUCUACUUCAUAUCAAUGCAAGAAAAGGAAGAAUUUAUCUGACAACCUUUGCUUAACAUCCGACAGUAAAACUACUACCAACACAUUCCCUAUAGCAUAGUAGUACCUCCAGAAAAGGUGGUGUUUCCUUCUGGAGUUAUAGAGUGUGCGCCUAAGUCAGCCCAGCACGUGUUUCCCAAUCCUGUUGUUAGUUAUCUCCCAUCUGACCAGUGUGUUUUUGCAGGGUAGGUCAGGUAAGAGCAGGCGUCUGAAACGACAUAGUGUCAAAAGGAGGGUCAGGACCGAUGGUCCCCUCACUGCUUUCCUUAGCAGGAAUUCAUUACUUCUGGCUACCAUUAGGCAUAUCAUGUGUAAUUGUUUCUGUGGAAACCUCUAACGAGUUUAGCACAUAACGAAGUUACUUCUUAGUAAUAAAAUAACUAAAAUUUGCAGAAACACAAGUGUUCAAAAUGCUAGUACAGCAAAUAAUGUUGUUUUAAUGUAGUUGCUUUUAUUCAAAAGAGGGAGGUUUGAUUUUCGUAAAGUCUAAAUGCCAUUUAACGACUAGCACAAGUUAGAAUUCUAUAGAAAAAAUAACAUGCAUUUUUAGCAUGCACUACAUUUUUGUGUUAUUCAGUGUAAAACUUGCAGCAUAUUAGUGACAUCAAGAAUUAUUCAAAUGCUGAAAAUGAGGGGACACACUUGAAAAACAUAACUGCUACUCUCUUUGGUUUUUUUUUUAGUGUCUUUGCCCACAUCAGGUGUUUAAAGCACCAAUACAGGCUCUGUGCCAAUGUGAAAGCUCCCAUUUCGGUUAGAAAUUAGUUGGAACCUGUGAUAUUUUAAUAUAUGUUGAAAUAGUAGAUAGUAAUUUCUAACUCGGGUUUUAUAAAAGGUUGUGAUUUGAUAUAUCUAGCCUACAGUUAAGUGGAUUAAGCAGGUUAUAAACGACAACAUUCAGAAGGGGCAGGACAAUGGACCCAGGAAGCUGUUGGGAAUAUGUGAAAUACCCUCUUCAUCUCCUGGCUAAUGUCAGAUGGUGAUAUUAUUUCUGCUGGGACCACUGUAUUUCUGUUUUUGUUUGCCUGACAUAACCCUUAUAUGUCUUCCAUUGGACCUGGAAGGAUCUGGGUGUUUUCGCCUCCCUUUAACUACGGUAAAAAUUGAAUGUUUGGCCCUUCUGCUGAGGGCUUAGAACCUUGCUGUACCCCUGCUCCUAGCACACGAUGAGGGGAGACAUUUCCUUGCUACCAGUCCUUCAUGCACAAAGCAGGAUACAGUCUAGCCUAAUAUUUGUUAAUCCAUAAUAGCCUGCCUAAGUGCUGUAUAGUGAAAAAUAUAAUGUGUUUUUGUAUGGAUAAACCAUCUCUGUUGCUGCAAAUAUUUGCUGUUGCAAACUGUUACUGCACAAGUGUGGGAGGGUUUGCCUGAUUUGCUGCUGAUUUGUAUGGUGAGUGACAGCUUUGGACAAAAUCCAAAUCCUACAUUAAUAUUAAUUUAUUGAUGUAAAUUAAUGCAGAACAAACAAUAAUCAGCAGCUAGCUCAACAACUGUAGUAAGCUGUCCACUCUAGCCAUAGGAUUCUUAUUUUGAAGAUGCCUGAUAGACACUUGACAUCAUGUGUUGUUUAGAGAAAGGGAGUAAACUCUUUGCUGAGUUAUGCUUAUGUUAAGGAAAAAAAGUACGGAAAAUUUAUGGGCUUGAAAAGUCCUAGGAAAAAAAUUAAGUGAGGCUCUUUAAAAGCUGUUUAAUGUUUUUUGUAACAGAAGAGGAGAGGCUGUCAUUGGCAAAGAUCUGAAAAAAAUAUUCUGAGGACUAAUUCUAGUUUGAAAUAAGCAGAAGCAUGUAGCAUCAGGGUAUUUUUUAUGGAACUAUAACUAAGGGAAGUUAAUAACUGUAUAACCUGUACACUUGGUGCGUUUACUUACUUCUAUUAAUUAAAUGUACUUUGUAUUGUGUGCCCCAUUUAUUACAUUCUGUGUCAUAUUUGCUGUGGCUGCCGGGGAAGGCAGUGAAGAUGGGUGCUCAUCUAACAGGUGCUCCACUCCCUUUGUUCUUUGUAUACACAUAUUCAAAUCACAUAAGGCAGGGGACAGGAUAGGGCCUGUUAACUCAUUACUGAUUUCCCUAGCAAAUAAACCAGCUGCAGGUCCAAGCCCUGGCUUAGUGCUGAGGAGAAGGUGGCAUUUGUGUGGGACAGGAUGCUUUCAUGGAGCCCCUUAGCCAACUUCUUUUGGGACUUAGAGUGCAGAAUAUAUUUUCUACUUGUAGGUAUUUGUUCUGCCUUAAAGUUGACAGUACCAUCUCAUACCAUCCAUGGUAUUGAGGGACAACCACUUCAUCUUACUGUUGACUACAAUUUCAAUGCUACAGCUUCUGAAAUCCAGAUAAUUUGGCUUUUUGAGAGGCCUCAAAGUAAUCCAAAAUACUUGCUUGGCUCUGUAAAUCAAACAGUAGUUCCAGACUUGGAAUACCAGCACAAGUUUACCCUUGUACCACCAAAUGCAUCUUUGAUGAUCAAUCCAUUGCAUAUCAGCGAUGAGGGCAAUUAUAUUGUAAAAGUCAAUGUCCGUGGAAAUGGGACAAUAGCUGCAAGUCAAAAGAUUCAAGUAGCUGUUGAUGUUCCAGUCACAAAGCCAACUGUACAUACUGAACCAUCUUCAGGAGUAGUGGAAUAUGUAGGAAAUAUUACCCUAAAAUGUAUUCUGGGUAAAGGUACAAGGGUAACUUACCAGUGGAUGAAAAAUGGGAAGCGUCUCCAUGCUGGCCCUAAUUAUACCUUUUCAUCAAACAAUGCUACACUUCUAAUUGUUCCUGUUGUAAAAGAAGACAUUGGGAAUUACAGCUGUCUAGUAUCUAACCCUGUCAGUGCAAUGGAAAGUGAGAUAAUUGCACCAACCAUAUAUUAUGGACCUUAUGGUCUUAGAGUUAAGUCAGAUAAAGGUCUGAAUAUAGGGGCAGUGUUUACAGUUGACAUGGGAGAAGUUAUACUGUUUGACUGUUCAGCAGAUUCAAAUCCACCAAAUACUUAUUCGUGGAUUCGAAGGGAUGACAAUACCACUCAUGUAAUCAAAUAUGGACCCCAUCUGGAAGUUGUAUCUGAUAAAGUGGCCCAGAAGACAAUAGAUUACAUGUGCCGUGCUUUCAACAACAUGACUGGAAAACGAGAUGAAACUCACUUCACUGUCGUGGUUACUUCUGUAGGGUUGGAAAAGCUGGCCCAAAAGGGAAAAUCUUUAUCUUCACUUGCAGUAAUAACAGGAAUUUCAUUAUUUUUGAUCCUAGCUAUGACUUUUUUAUUCCUAUGGAAAAGAUAUCAGCCAUAUAAAGUGAUACAACAGAAGCUGCAAAGCAGGCCAGAGGCUGAUUACAGAAAGGCACAGGCAUUUUCAGGACAUGAAAGUGCUUCAGAUGAUUUUGGGAUAUAUGAGUUUGUCGCUUUUCCUGAUCUUGCCAGUGGUUCUAGGGUUUCAAGUCAAUCUGUUCCUGGCUCUGACUUUGUCCCAGGCCAGGAUAUGCUUAAUACGGUUUAUGAAGUUAUUCAGCACGUUCCUGACCAGCCGCAACAAGACCACCAACAGUAAGUUAAAGGCUGCAUUCACUCAUGUGGUAGCUCAAAGGCAAAAACUUCAGCAUCUGGAACAAUUUAAAUUUUGGUAGCUGUUAUUUGAUUCCAUUGAGAGGGGUAAGGAAGGAAAACAGGUAAAAGCUACACCAGUUUCUCCACCAUUUCCUAUCCAAUUCCUCACUUUUCCUGAAGACACCAGUCUGUUGUUUCAUCAUGUCAGUUUUGUGUAAGUGUGAAAAAAAAGGUAAGAUCUUCAAACACUAUUUCAGAUGAAAAUUCCUGCGUAAUUUAAGGUGGUAACUAUAGCUUCACAGCACUGGGACAUCAGCACUUCCUACUGAGCAGGUUAAAUAUUCAAUCAAAGCAAUUUAAUUGGCAGCACAGCUUCCAGACCUGCCAGCCAUGUGUCAAGUAGAGUUAGGGUGGGCUUUUUUGCCAUGUUGAAACUGGUCAGCUGAUCACUUAUCAAUGGUUAUUAAAAUAGCCACUGAAAUAUUAAUUGCUAAUAUUAAUAUUAGUUGCUUGAGUAAGCAGUGUCUUUAGAGCAAAAGAAUUUUGUUCUGCAGUACCUUGUCUGGGAACUCCACAAAAACACUUUUGCUGAGUUAAAUACCAGGAAGGCCACAGCAUGUUGUUCUUAUGUGGUUAGUGUCUGGUAGACCUGGUUUUGUUCAAGUCACCUACUGUGUAGCGCUUCUUGGCAUAAGAAGAGUGGAUACACUGUAAAGUUUCUGUAAUUGCAGUAUAGCUGCCAUAAAUCUUUCGUGAAUAUUGAAAGUCUUUCUUACAAAUUAAGAACAGGACACAAGACUUUAUUUGGUAACAAGCCUAUUAUAUCACAUUGUCCAUGUUUUUAUGAUGUGUUCUGUUUCUUUUUCGGUUGAAAAGAAAAAUACACACUCUUACCCAUAUACUAAUCAGUUGGCUUAAUAAUCACAAUGUUUAUGUGACUGCAUUAGCAUGCUGUACUUACAGUACAAAAAAUUUUGUGCCAGUUUUAUCUUCAACUGUGUGUCCAAAUUACGUAUGCAAACAUACAGCCAUGGUUGUAAAAACAAGUUGUGAGAAAGCAACAAUGAAUUACUAAUUAUGCUUUUGUUCUGCUUGGCAUUUUUCACUUUGAACCCUAAGAUGAUUUUUGAAGCCAGAUGUACAAAAUAGCAUUCAUAAAGUACAUAUUUUUUUAUUCUUCCCUCCUACAUGUCUUCCUUCUCAAUUCUCUCACUGAUACAUGACCCCUCUGAAAAAAGGAAUGAAUGCAACAAAAAGAUGUAUAUGAAGACAUGGGAACAGGAAAUCAAAGCAUCUGCAAGUACUUCUUUUUCUUUAUAACAUACUGAAAGGAAAUGCCAACAACUCCAAGAAUGGCAAAGGCUUAUGCCACCUUUGCUUGAAAUAGCAAUUUUUCUUCAGACUGACAGUCCCUUUCCUUGGGGUGCUCCAAACUGCCCAUUUCUUAAUUUUUUCUUUUUUAAAGUAAUAAUUCCCUGAAAAAUACAUGUAUUUUUCAUUAAUUUCUUUUCCUUAUUGGUGAACAGAAAAGACAAAGAGACAGCUUUAAAAAUGCAGUAUAAAACCUAUAUAUUUUAGUAAAAUAAUCAGUAGAGGCACAAGAAGAAAUCAGGCCCAAGAUGCCACCCUCACUUGUUUUAUUAAAAAAUGGCAAAAAUCGCAUAUGAGAGUUUUUCAUUGGUGUUGACUUUUACAAGAAUACUGCCAUGAAAAGUAAUAAAUGCAAUAUGACAGAUUGCAAAAUACAUUUGAGGUUUAAAAUAAAGUCUUUUAACUCAUUUAAUGUGACACUGUAUUUUAAUUUACAAACAUAGAAGCUGAUCUGUCAGGCAGUUAGAAUUUAAAAAUGUACAUAUGUAUAUUAUUCAAAAUAAUGUGUUCUCAUUAAAUUCUGUUUCCUUUGCAUUUUAACUGUUUUUCUAUUUUCUGCUGAAGAGCAUGUUUCUCAUUGACUAGGAGAACAAGUAAUAUUCAAGUUAUUUCUUAAAGCUGCAGAAUGUUCAGGCUACUUGCAUAUUAAAAUUGUAAUUCUCCAGUGCAAAUGAAGCCUAUCUUACUCCAUUUAAACAGUGUGCUACAAGUACCUUCACAAAUAGAGGAAUACUCUUCCAGAAUCUUCUAUUAGCAGGCUUCUGAAUCCUGCAGAAAAAUUCACUAUUAUUUCCUCAGAGUCAGCUAUUAGAUGGUGUCAGUUGGCUGCAGCCAGGGAAAAGGGGAAUUAUGAACUGAAUUAAUCUGCAGGAAAAAAAAGGAUACUUCAGUAACAGCUAAUUGUGUGGGAAAUCAUUAGUGUGAGUAAUGAGAAAGCAUACAGUGUCUCCAUCCUUUAAGACAGGCUGAAUGGGAUUAUUUAAAACACUCUUGUUUAUGAAAAAUUAUUUCCACUCAUUUAAAGUACCUCCCUAAUAUGCAUUUAGUAAACAUUCUUCCUGUCUCCAUCUUUAAAACACAAGGAAAAAUAACACAGUUUUCAGUGAAUAUUCUGAUCAUAGUGAUGCUGGAAAAAAGGGAAAAGGACAUCUUCACCGUUGCAUGUGAGGAAAAUAGGAUUUGGCAUUUCACAGAGGCAGCUGAUGCAACCCAAAUAUGCAAGAAGUACUGACGUAAUCUAAAAGAAUGUAGUCACCAGAUUUGCUCCUUAAGAAAUAACCCUCUGACAUGAAGGCAUCAGACAGAGGCUGUAAGUGUAAACAUUUGGGCAAAAUUCUAAAGUACUGAAGUUGUCCUAAAGGACUUACUUAGGAACUCAGGGGAUUCCCCACAAAUUCCCCCAUCGUUCAUUUAAAGCUGACUUCAUCUGUGUGUUUCACAUUGAGACAGCCCUUUGGGAUGUGCGAAGUCUGAUUUUCCGCUUCUUUUUCUUUUCUUGAUGGAGUGCUCUGAAAUGAGCAUACAGAUUUCUUGAGACCAUUCCAUCCAGACCAUCUCAGACGUAUAAUGUCACUGCAGGGCCACAGGGCAGCAAGUGCAAAUGGAUUAAAAAAAAAAUUACUGUUUCUGCAUCUCUAGAGCCUUUGUAUUUAAAACUGACAGUAGUAUACAUUUUUCUAAGUUCUUCUGAUGAAAAUAAAAAGAAUUGGUUCAAUAUCA